RNAcentral lists this ribosomal RNA (406 nucleotides) under uncultured bacterium. RNAcentral describes it as "partial 16S ribosomal RNA". It matches the Rfam family "Bacterial small subunit ribosomal RNA", at positions 30 to 526 of the family's 1533-position model. The record is from RNAcentral.
AUUGAACGCUGGCGGCAGGCCUAACACAUGCAAGUCGAACGAGUGGCAGACGGGUGAGUAAUGUCUGGGAAACUGCCCGAUGGAGGGGGAUAACUACUGGAAACGGUAGCUAAUACCGCAUACCAUCGGAUUUGCCCAGAUGGGAUUAGCUUGUAGGUGGGGUAAUGGCUCACCUAGGCGACGAUCCCUAGCUGGUCUGAGAGGAUGACCGGCAAACCUGGAACUGAGAAACGGUCCAGACUCCUCCGGGGGGCAGCAGUGGGGAAUAUUGGACAAUGGGCGCAAGCCUGAUGCAGCAAUGCCGCGUGGAUGAAGAAGGCCUUCGGGUUGUAAAGUACUUUAAGCGAGGAGGCGUUACUCGCAGAAGAAGCACCGGCUAACUACGUGCCAGCAGCCGCGGUAAUAC